This 351-nucleotide ribosomal RNA is filed under the name uncultured Pseudomonas sp. RNAcentral's name for it is "bacterial SSU rRNA". It matches the Rfam family "Bacterial small subunit ribosomal RNA", at positions 1034 to 1382 of the family's 1533-position model. Lineage: Bacteria; Pseudomonadati; Pseudomonadota; Gammaproteobacteria; Pseudomonadales; Pseudomonadaceae. The record is from RNAcentral.
ACAGGUGCUGCAUGGCUGUCGUCAGCUCGUGUUCGUGAGAUGUUGGGUUAAGUCCCGUAACGAGCGCAACCCUUGUCCUUAGUUACCAGCACGUUAUGGUGGGCACUCUAAGGAGACUGCCGGUGACAAACCGGAGGAAGGUGGGGAUGACGUCAAGUCAUCAUGGCCCUUACGGCCUGGGCUACACACGUGCUACAAUGGUCGGUACAAAGGGUUGCCAAGCCGCGAGGUGGAGCUAAUCCCAUAAAACCGAUCGUAGUCCGGAUCGCAGUCUGCAACUCGACUGCGUGAAGUCGGAAUCGCUAGUAAUCGUGAAAUCAGAAUGUCACGGUGAAUACGUUCCCGGGCCUU